GCCCGCAUGGCCUAAUGGCUAUGGCGUCCCACUCGUAAUCCAUCGGAUAACAUCAAAAUGGGGAGAUUCUCGGUUCAAUUCCGAGUGUGGGCA
This is a non-coding RNA of Podospora appendiculata, 93 nucleotides long. The record is from the annotation of a GenBank genome assembly. NCBI's taxonomy places the organism in Eukaryota, Fungi, Ascomycota, Sordariomycetes, Sordariales, Podosporaceae.